AUUAGUUUUUUAAUUGAAGGCUAGAAUGAAUGGUUGGACAAGAAAUAAUCUGUCUUAAUUAAAUAUAUUGAAUUUAACUUUUAAGUGAAAAGGCUUAGAUAAUCUGAAGGGACGAUAAGACCCUAUAAAACUUUAUAUUUAUAAGUUAAUAGUUAAUUUUAUUUAAAUAUAUUAUAUUUAAAUAUUUUGUUGGGGUGACAAGGAUAAAAUUAAAAAUAACUGUCCUUUUUUAUAACAGUAAUGUUUGUAUUAAUGAUCCUUAAAUGGAUUUAAGAUUAAGUUACUUUAGGGAUAACAGCGUAAUUUUCUUUAAGAGUUCUUAUCGACAAGAAAGUUUGCGACCUCGAUGUUGAAUUAAAAGUUCUUUAUAGAGUAGAGACUAUAAAAGAGGGUCUGUUCGACCUUUAAAUUUUUACAUGAUUUGAGUUCAGACCGGUGUGAG
RNAcentral lists this ribosomal RNA (442 nucleotides) under Procambarus tulanei. Its description in RNAcentral is "partial large subunit ribosomal RNA". The stretch from base 291 to 442 matches the Rfam family "Bacterial large subunit ribosomal RNA", at positions 2473 to 2625 of the family's 2925-position model. The record is from RNAcentral. Lineage: Eukaryota; Metazoa; Arthropoda; Malacostraca; Decapoda; Cambaridae.